Frieseomelitta varia is the source of this 506-nucleotide long non-coding RNA. RefSeq lists it as uncharacterized. The transcript is spliced from 4 exons. NCBI's taxonomy places the organism in Eukaryota, Metazoa, Arthropoda, Insecta, Hymenoptera, Apidae. The record is from RefSeq and is a predicted model, not a curated record.
AUCGUGGCGUUAAGACGUAUUUUUUCGCGUGUUAUUUAUAAUUAUCUGUGUAAUAUUUUCAUCAUCAUUCCCACACUGCUGUUAACACCAUUUAAAUAACAUUAUUGGUUGAUUGCGACGAAGUUGGAAAAUUAAGGAAGAUGACUUGUGAUAAAUCUGCUGAUUUUUAUUCAUAUUAGGUUCUACAUUCCUUUUUCUUCCUGUUCUGUGAAAAGGACCUAGCACUGCUUCAGGUCAACGAUACUUCUAUAACCACAUCGAUAACAACAUUUUUUGCAUCUAAUCGUGAGUCGCAUGUAUUUUUAUUCCUCUGGUCACUUAAUCAUGUCGUAGGAUGAAAGAUCCGAAUCGAUACAGGUGACUGGUUAUAUUAUGUAGAACUUUUGACGAGCAUAGUGACCACGGGUAUUUAUUAUACCUGUGAGUAAUAACAUGUUUUAUUUAUCAGUUCAGGAUAGGUUUUCUUGCACAUCGCGUUUUUUAAUAUUAAUAAUAAUGCAUUUACA